Molecule: non-coding RNA, 542 nt
Organism: Cricetulus griseus (Chinese hamster)
Lineage: Eukaryota; Metazoa; Chordata; Mammalia; Rodentia; Cricetidae
Source: RefSeq, a predicted model, not a curated record
UCCGCCUGGUGAUUGGGGUGACCGCGAACCUGGCCUGAGACCCCGGAUACUUGAGUUUUCGGGGGUCUAACACUACAUCAGAAGAAAAAUUUAGUAUUUUACAGCUUAAUAAAAUGCCUUAAAUCGCCAGUUUACACAAAACAAUGAUUUCUAAAACGGUGGACAUAAAGCCAAUGGAGAGAGAAAAACUACAAUCACAAGGCAAGGGUGAGAUAGGUCACCUGGCACUGAAAAGGAAAGAAGGAAAACUCCGCAAAGGGAGGGAGCAUCGCAAGGCUCCAACCACAUGACUCAAGUAGAGGGAGCAAAAACAGAAACCCCAUCCAUAGGGCAAGCCAGAGGCAUGGCUAAAAAGGAAUGAGAAAACUGUGUACAAGCAGCUGCAGCUUAAACAAACAAUAACAUUUUGGCUCCCGGACAUGGAAAGGCUCUGCCCUUGUACCUUCUCCUGCGGCCUGCUGGUGGGCUCGUGUUAGGUCAAGGGUACCCUUAACACACAGAUUGACAACCCACACUCCAUCUCACCGGUUUGCUGGGACUCU